UGGGGAAUUUUGCACAAUGGGCGCAAGCCUGAUGCAGCCAUGCCGCGUGUAUGAAGAAGGCCUUCGGGUUGUAAAGUACUUUCAGCGGGGAGGAAGGCGAUAAGGUUAAUAACCUUGUCGAUUGACGUUACCCGCAGAAGAAGCACCGGCUAACUCCGUGCCAGCAGCCGCGGUAAUACGGAGGAUGCAAGCGUUAAUCGGAAUUACUGGGCGUAAAGCGCACGCAGGCGGUCUGUCAAGUCGGAUGUGAAAUCCCCGGGCUCAACCUGGGAACUGCAUUCGAAACUGGCAGGCUAGAGUCUUGUAGAGGGGGGUAGAAUUCCAGGUGUAGCGGUGAAAUGCGUAGAGAUCUGGAGGAAUACCGGUGGCGAAGGCGGCCCCCUGGACAAAGACUGACGCUCAGGUGCGAAAGCGUGGGGAGCAAACA
This 427-nucleotide ribosomal RNA is filed under the name uncultured bacterium. RNAcentral describes it as "partial 16S ribosomal RNA". It matches the Rfam family "Bacterial small subunit ribosomal RNA", at positions 355 to 774 of the family's 1533-position model. The record is from RNAcentral.